Formica exsecta is the source of this 207-nucleotide long non-coding RNA. RefSeq lists it as uncharacterized. NCBI's taxonomy places the organism in Eukaryota, Metazoa, Arthropoda, Insecta, Hymenoptera, Formicidae. The record is from RefSeq and is a predicted model, not a curated record. The transcript has 2 exons.
ACACACACACAACAUAUUGGUAACAGAUUAAAUACACCAUAUAAUACUCAGUUACAGACUUCCAAACACCUGGCCGAUUGAAAUUCGUCGCCUGCCAAGGCCUGCACCAUCAUCAUCACGAGCUCCAGGAACAGGAGAAUUUUAUGAUAUGAGACCAGAAAUUCAAGCAAUACAUGGAAGAAUACAUCAUCUAGCUUUGGAAAUGCA